UGGGACAGAUGAUUGGGGUGAAGUCGUAACAAGGUAGCCGUAGGAGAACCUGCGGCUGGAUCACCUCCUUUCUAAGGAAUAA
Molecule: ribosomal RNA, 82 nt
Filed under: Ligilactobacillus aviarius
Lineage: Bacteria; Bacillati; Bacillota; Bacilli; Lactobacillales; Lactobacillaceae
Description: partial 16S ribosomal RNA
Rfam family: Bacterial small subunit ribosomal RNA (bases 1-71)
Source: RNAcentral